RNAcentral lists this unclassified non-coding RNA (242 nucleotides) under uncultured fungus. RNAcentral's name for it is "partial contains 5.8S ribosomal RNA, internal transcribed spacer 2, and large subunit ribosomal RNA". Lineage: Eukaryota; Fungi. The record is from RNAcentral.
AACGCACAUUGCGCCCGCCAGCAUUCUGGCGGGCAUGCCUGCCCGAGCGUCAUUUCGACCCUCAGCGCCGCUCGCGGCCUGGUGUUGGGUGCCGGCGCCUGCCGCCCCCGAAAUGCAGUGGCGGCGACGCCCGCGGCCUCCCCUGCGCAGUAGCACAUCUCGCACCGGAGCGCGGACGUCGACGCCGUAAAAAACCUCGUUUGGUUGACCUCGGAUCAGGUAGGGAUACCCGCUGAACUUAA